RNAcentral lists this ribosomal RNA (490 nucleotides) under uncultured bacterium. RNAcentral describes it as "partial 16S ribosomal RNA". It matches the Rfam family "Bacterial small subunit ribosomal RNA", at positions 30 to 507 of the family's 1533-position model. The record is from RNAcentral.
AUUGAACGCUGGCGGCAUGCUUUACACAUGCAAGUCGGACGGCAGCACAGAGAAGCUUGCUUCUUGGGUGGCGAGUGGCGAACGGGUGAGUAAUAUAUCGGAACGUACCGAGUAAUGGGGGAUAACUAAUCGAAAGAUUAGCUAAUACCGCAUAUUCUCUGAGGAGGAAAGCAGGGGACCUUCGGGCCUUGCGUUAUUCGAGCGGCCGAUAUCUGAUUAGCUAGUUGGUGGGGUAAAGGCCUACCAAGGCGACGAUCAGUAGCGGGCCUGAGAGGAUGAUCCGCCACACUGGGACUGAGACACGGCCCAGACUCCUACGGGAGGCAGCAGUGGGGAAUUUUGGACAAUGGGCGCAAGCCUGAUCCAGCCAUGCCGCGUGUCUGAAGAAGGCCUUCGGGUUGUAAAGGACUUUUGUCAGGGAAGAAAAGGCUGUUGCUAAUAUCAAUAGCUGAUGACGGUACCUGAAGAAUAAGCACCGGCUAACUACGUG